This 9131-nucleotide long non-coding RNA is filed under the name Homo sapiens (human). Its description in RNAcentral is "non-protein coding lnc-PANO1-1:1". Lineage: Eukaryota; Metazoa; Chordata; Mammalia; Primates; Hominidae. The record is from RNAcentral.
CGUGCGCGGCGUCUGGGCGCGCCCGGGAGUUCGCGGGUCACGUGCCCUGGCGGCCGGGGGCGGAGCCGGGUGGGACUGGGCGCCUGCGCGUUCGUACCCGGUCCGGGUCGGCUGGGCUGCCCGCCGCUCCGCGCGCCCGGGCGGUCGCAGGUCGCGCCUGCUUUGGCCCCGGCGGGUUCGGCAUCCGAGCCUGGCAGGGGCCAAUAGGUAGGGUCGCGAGGGUCCUCCCCGGCCGCAUGCGCAGUCUGAGCGCGCGCGGGGUAGGGCUCUUGGCCUGGGGUGGGGGCGCGGGCAUCAGCAGAGCCAGGCGGCGGUGUCGGGGCGCGAAGGUGCCCGUGGUGUUCCGGUGGCCACACCCGAGGAGCAGGGGAGACCGGGGGGCUGCGGGGUCAGAAGCUCCGGGUGUCCCCGGAGACUAGGAGGGGGACGGCGGGGUCCAGGAGGCGGGGUGGGCUCCGCCGGCCCAGGACGGGGGCGUCGCGGGGAGGCCUGCAGGGUUGUGGGGCGUCGGGCUGAGCUCCUGGGAGGACGGAGUGUCACUUCCUGAGAUGGGGACACCUCGGGCGUGCUGGCUUUGGUGAGGAGAAUUGAAGCAGUUUUUCUUUUUUUUUUUUUUUUUUUGAGACAGGGCCUCUGGAGUGCAGUGGCGUGAUCUCGGCUCACUACAGCGUCUGCCUACCGUGUUCAAGCGAUCCUCCCACCUCAGCCUGUUGAGCAACCGGGACCCCAGGUGCACACUCCACCACGCCCAGCUAAUUUUUUUGUGUUUUGGGUAGAGAGGGGGUCUCACUGUGUUGUCCAAGCUGGUCUCGAACUCCUGAUCUAAAGCGAUCUGCCUGCCUUGGCCUCCCAAAGUGCGAGGACUACAGGCGUGAGCCACCGCGCCUGGCCUGAAGCAGUUUUUCCUUAGACUGUAGUUGGAGGGGGUGAGACCACGUGGAGUGGUUGGCAGACAGGCAGGCACCCUUUGAGGCCAAAAGGGCGCUUGAGACAGAGCCAGCAGGCGAGCGGGCCGCCCAGGUCCCUGGCCCCCUGCUGCCAGUAUGAAGGUCCCACCAAGCCUCUGCUCCAACCAGGGGAACCGUCAUGGUUGGGAACAGCCAAGGUGAGGAAUUCUGUGGGUCACACCCCCUGAAAACCACUGGCCUCCGCCGGGCGCGGUGGCUCACGCUUGUUAUCCCAACACUUUGGGAGGCCCAGGCGGGUGGAUCACGAGGUCAGGAGUUCAAGACCAGCCUGGCCAAGAUGGUGAAACCCCGUCUCUACUAAGAAAAAUACAAAAAUUAGCAGUGGCAGCACCUGUCAUCCAAGCUACUUGGGAGGCUGAGGCGGGAGAAUCACGUGAACCCAGCGGGGGCAGAGGUUGCAAUGAACCAAGAUUGCGCCACUGCACUCCAGCCUGGGCGACAGAUUGAGACUCCUUCUCAAAAAAAAAAAAAAGCCACUGGCCUCUGGCUCCCCCUGGCCCAGCCUGGAGAAGGGUCCCUGACCCCCGUCAGACAAGCAGUGCACCCUGCCUCACCUGACACAGAGCCCUCCCACCACAGGGGAAGUGGGAGCUGGGAGCUCCUGGUACAGGCAAGGCCGAGAGUUGGGUUAGGGAGCAGAGGACGGAGCUGAGUGAGUGUCCAGUGUUAGGUGGGUGGGGGUGUUAGUGGAUGGAGGUGUCUGAAGCCUCGCAGGCCUGCGGUCACACCACAGGCUGGGCCUAGCCGCUUGGAGAGCUUUCUGGAUCUGCACAGGAUCUUGUCCCCCACAGACACACACUGUGGGCCUCAAACCCGGGAGCAGGAGGGGCAGGUUGGAGCAGGUCUACCUGCUUGCCCAGCCCCACCUGCACUGGCCCCAAGGUGUCCCUGAUGGAGCUGAGCUGGACCAGCCACAGGUGCAGGGCUGAGUCUGCAGCAGCCCCCUCCCCAUUCCUCUUCCCCUCCCCCAAGUUAGAACAGCAGUAUGGAGGAGGAAGCUGGAAGCCAGGCUUGGCCCUCACGCUGGCGGCAAGUCUAAUGCGUGUGUGUGCACCUGUGUCCACAGGUGGUGUGCCCCCUAGUGUACCCUUGGGUCCCCACCGUAGUCCAAGGUGUCAUGUCUGUGUGUGGGCAUCGCUGGUUCCCGGCACAGCCAAUCCUGGGAAAGUGCAUGUCCCUCAUGGCAUUCGGAGUCAGGGUGGCCAGCCAGGGCCCCACCAGCAAGCCAUAGCAUCAGCCCAAGGGCAGCAGCCAGCCAGGAGGCAGGAACCGCACCCGAAGUUCCUAGGCGUCCCGAGUCUCCUGUGGGCAAGAUCACCCUUGUACCCUCACUGCUGAGCCCUGGAGUGUGGGUGCCCCCAGGUGGUCUGUUGCUGCUCCGCUACUCCGCAGCAGCCCCCAACCCUGUGUGCCCACCCAGGGUGCCGCCAUCUCCUCCCCUGCAAGAGGCCAGCCUCUGCUCCGCGCCUCUCUAUCCCCAGCAGGUGGGAAAGGGUGCUUCCAGGGUACUGCUAUCUCCCCCGCUCCAAGAGGCCAGCCUCUGCUCCCCGCCUCUCUACCCCUGGCUGGUGGGAAAGGGUGCUCCUCAGGCCCUGUUUAGGGCUGACAUUGGGCCAGGUGACAGGACACCUGGGCAUGAUUGGGCAGCUAUUGGGGAGCCAUGGGCAGAGCACCUGAGGUCUGCAGUCAGCAGCCCAGUCCGGGUGAUGCCUCCUGGGAAGGGGCCCAGACUUGGGGGUAACGGCGUCACUGAUGUGGGUCCCUGGCCCCACUGUGGGGUGUCCAGGGUUGUGCCUAUUGGACCGCCCGCCUCACCAUCCCACGCUACUGAGCCUCCUUCCUCAGCCAUUGUCCAGCUUCGUGUCAAGUCCUGGCGUGGGGCUCACCGCCUGCCCCUUGACCGUGGAGUUCGGACGCGUCUCACAGUGAGUGCCCCAGCAGAGCAGGGUUGGGUGCUGAGCAUCAGCAGCUCUGCCAGAGCAAGUGGCAAUUCCCUGGAACCUGGGGUCUUGCCUUUGUUUGGAGACCGAGAGACUCACAGUGUGGGAGGGUCACAGGACAUGUCAUCAGCAGUGAAAAGGUUUUGUUCCGUUUCCUGCCUUCAGAACUUGCACGUGCUGGAAUCCAAGGAUGGGUGGGAGAGGGGCCGUUCCUGGAGAUGUCUGCCCUUCGGGGCUGGCCCAUGCCACAGGACCUCCCAUCACCCCUGCUGCCUUGGUUGGUGAAUUCGGGGCAUGCUGAGCCUUUCCCUUGCAGCCUUUGCACUUGCUACUCUUCCCUCCGCUUAUCAAACUCCUAACCAUCCCUCGAAGUCCAUGGGCACCAGAAGCACCGCCUCAGAGACUCACAGACUCAGAUGUACAGAUGUCCCUCAGUAUCCAUGCGGAAUUGAUUCCAGGACCCCUGCAGAUGCUCAAGUCCCUGCUAUAAAAUAGUGUAGUGUUUGGCCAGGCAUGGUGGCUCACGCCUCAAAAAUUAGCUGGGCGUGGUGGUGGGAACCUGUAAUCCCAGCUACUCAGUAGGCUGAGGGAGGUGAAUUACUUGAACCCAGGAAGCGGAGGUUGCAGUUAUCCAAGAUUGCGCCACUGCACUCCAGCCUGGGCGACAGAGCAAGACUUGGUCUCAAAAAAAAAAGGGCGGGGGGCUGUGCGCAGUGGCUCACACCUGUAAUCCCAACAGUUUGGGAGGCUGAGGCGGGGGGAUCACGAGGUCAGGAGUUCGAAACCAGCCUGAAACCCCGUCUCUACUAAAAAUACAAAAAAUUAGCCGGGCAUGGUGGCGUGCCUGUAAUCCCAGCUACUUAGGAGGCUGAGGCAGGAGAAUCGCUUAAACCCAGGAGGCGGAGGUUGCAGUGAGCAGAGAUCAUGCCAUUGCACUCUAGCCUGGGCGACAGAGCAAGACUCCAUCUCAAAAAAAAAAAAAUGGUGUAGUGUUUGCAUAUAACCUACACGUGUCCUUCUGUGUACUUUAACUCAUUUCUAGAUUACUUAUAAUACCUAAUACAAUGUAACUGCUGUGGGAAGAGUUGCUAUAUUGUGUUGUUUAGGAAAUAACAAGAAAAAAAAAAGCACAACCACCCAUGUUUGUUUUUUCAAAUAUUUAACAUCCUUGCUUGGUUGAAUCCACGGAUGCGGAACCCAUAGAUCCUGAGGGCCGACUCUACCCCCUUCUGAGAACAUCCCCCACAGAUGGCUGCCCUGGGUGCCCUCUGUUAGCUCAGCCCGACUACCAGGUGGACCUCAGGUUGAGGGCUGGGACCAGGAGACAUGGGCUUCUUUCUUGGGAAGGGGCAUGUUGGGCAGUCCUCGACGUGGCCCAGACAGGGCCCUUUCCCAGCGGGGUCUCAGCCAGGUUCCCCUUUCACCAAGGCUGGGCUGGGUGGAGUCUGGAUAGUUAGACCCCAGCACCUGUGAGUCACGCAGACCCAGAAGCAGGAAGCAGACAGUAAGUGACAGCCGCUAAGACGCAGGGAGGCUGGGCCAGGGCUGGGGCACGAGGGUACCUUCACCUGGGCGUCAGAAGCACUUGAGAGGACAGGGGCUGCUGGCUCUAUGUCUGCCCCCCUAGGCUGGCAUGAACUGGCCAGAGACGUCAGACGUGGUACAUGCCGGCCUCUGUGGCCUGGAGGGGCUUGCAACAAGGAGGCAGGCCCUGUCCCAAGCUGGCCUAGCCUAGUGUCCAGGACAUGGAGGACAGGGUGCAGCAGCCCCGGGGAGGGGUGGGGCCGUUCCCUCCCAAGCACACUUCUGGAGCUGCUGCAGUCGGGGGUGACCCUAACCUACCUUGUGCCUUCCUUCCCAUGUGCCGGGGCGGGUCCCACACACCUCUCUCCUGCCCCGACUGGCUCCCACCUGGGGCACGCAGUUGGGCAACCCAGGCCCUGCUCUGCCCGUCGAGCCUCCAGGGCAAGUGCAAGCUCAGCCUGGGCCUGGAGACGGCGGAUCGGAGCGUGUCCAGGUGCUCAGGGACUGGUCACCGAAAGGCAAGGAGCCCUCCCUGGGACGAGGGAGACACCCAAGAGUCAGGCCGGGACCUGCAGCGGACCGGGGUGGGAGUCUGCAGCAGAAAGUGCCCCCAUGGGCCUUGCUCACUGUGCCCUGCUUCUGGAGGAUUCCGCCUGGGACCCUGCCCGUGUCCAGGGGAGGGCCCGGAGGUGAUCAGCAGCCUCACCAAGAAUGCACUAGGGUGGGAGUCCCGGGAGAGGAGUCGCACCCUCUCAGCAGUGGGGAGGGGAUGCUGGAGAGGAAAACAGAGAAACCUCCCCCUAGCUCACCCCGUUCUGCACUGGGUGAUAAAUACUACGUGCACCCUAGGAAGCCACGUGUGUCACUGGCUGCUAACACGAGGAUGGGGGACUUGAGAUGCUGGUGCAGGUUCCCAGCAAGGCUCAGAGCUGCGGGUCUCCAGGGAGUUCCCGCAGAGCCUGGGGGGCACAGCCUGCCUCAGACAGUCCCCGGACCCCAGACCCGUGGACACCUCUGUCCCCAGAGAUGAUGCUGCGCGUUGGAGCUUUCCUGCUUUUUUCCCGUUUUCCAGAUUUCCUUAUAAGCGAUUUGACUUCACAGCGUGACCUUUUUAUAUACAUUUUAUAUCUGGUAUUUGUUUAGACCUUAGAAGUGUUCUGAGGCCGGGCGUGUGGCUCAUGCCUGUGAUCCCAGCACUUUGGGUGGCUGAGGUGGACGGAUCACCUGAGGUCAGGAGUUUGAGACCAUCCUGGCUAACGUGGUGAAACCCCGUCCCUACUAAAAAUAACAAAAUUAGCCGGGCGUGGGGGUGGGCGCCUGUAGUCCCAGCUACUCUGGAGGCUGAGGCAGGAGAAUGGCGUGAACCCGGGAGUCGAGAUCGCGCCACUGCACUCCAGCCUGGGCAACAGAGCAAGAGUCCGUCUCAAAAAAAAAAAAAAAAAGUGUUCUGUAAUAAAAGUGAACUGAUAAGUUCUGGGCAUCCCUGAGAAUUUGUUUUCCUUUCAGAAAGUUUCCUACACUACUGAGGUUUAGGGGCACUGUGAAGCAAAAGCCACGCCUCAGAAUCCCAGGCGGAGACUCCGACCUCGUCCCGGGAGGGAAGCCAGUAGCUGAGCACCUGCGGGAGAUUAAAGAGAGGAAUAAGGAGGUGAGUACAUGACAAAGAGCCACAGUCGCAGGCGGUGGGGCCUGGCUCAGAACAGGCUGUGCUGGGAAGCGGGAGCAGGAGCUGGCGCCGCCUUGCGGGCUGGCAGAGGACCAUCCACUCCCUGGCGCUGGGGCCGUCCCAUCUCAUGGGCAAGAAACGUGAGACCCCUGGCUCGCUCCACACACAACCUAAGUGCCAGAUGGAUGAGACGCCUACGCGUGAGUAAAUGCCAGGAACAUGAGACUCGAACGUGGCAGGAUAUCCUUCUGCCCACGAAUCUAAAAGCUUACUCGGUAAUGGGAGAAUGGUUCCAAUUUGAUAAACUCGGGUUUUUGGAACGUCUGUGCUCCAGAAACACUGGAAGGCAAGUGGCUGCUGACUGGAGGAGAUAAUUGGAUGCUGCAAGCGGCAAAGGGCUCGGGAUGCAAAACACCGCAAGAAAUGCAACAAGUGAGGAGCAUUCCCGCAAAGAAAAAACGCACAGGCCGAGAGCAGUGGCUCACGCCUGUAAUCCCAGCAGUUUGGGAGGCCGAGGCAGGUGCAUCGCUUGAGGACAGGAGUUCGAGACUAGGCUGGCCAACAUGGUGAAACCCCAUCUCUACUAAAAAUACAAAAAAAAAAAAAAAAUUAACCGGCUGUGGUGGCGAGUUCCUGUGGUCCCAGCUACUCGGGAGGCUGAGGCAGGAGAAUCGCUUGAACCUGGGAGACAGAGGUUGCAGUGAGCCAAGAUCGUGUCACUGCACUCCAGCCUGGGCAACAGAGUGAGACUCUGUCAAAAAAGAAAAAAAAAAUUGCACAAAUGGCACAAAGAGGAAAAAUCAAAUGGUGAGACCCAAAUAGCCAGGAGCUUUCUUUCUUUUUUUUUUUUUUUCUCCUUUCCUUUUUUCCAUCCUUUUAUCAGCCAUAAAAAGGAAGGGAAGGUUGGGCUGGGCACAGUGGCUCAUGCCUGUAAUCCCAACGCUUUGGGAGGCCAAGGUGAGUGGAUCACCAGAGGUCAGGAGUUCGAGUCAACCUGGCCAACAUGGUGAAACCCCAUCUCUACUAAAAAAUACAAAACUAGCCGGACGUGGUGGCGUGCGCCUGUAAUCCCAGCACUUUGGGAGGCUGAGACAGGAGAAUCCCUUGAACCCAGGAGGCAGAGGUUGCAGUGAGCCAAGAUUGCGCCACGGCACUCCAGCCUGGGCGACAGAGCGAGACUCCGUCUCAAAAAAUAAAAUAAAAAGGAAGGGAAGUUGAAUAGACUACAGCAUGGGUGGACCCUGAGUGAAAUAGGCCAAUUGAAAGGACAGAUGUUACACGAUACCAUUUAUCUGCAAUGCUAGAUUUGGGAGAGCCAUUGAGGCAGAAGAUAGGUGGUGGGUGCCCGGGGUUAAGGGGAGGGGACGGGGAGUCCAUGUGUAAUGGGGACAGAGUCUCUGGAGGGAUGACGCAUUCUGGAGGUGGACGGUGGUAAUGGAUACGCAUGAUGCUGCUGAACUGUGCACUUCAAAAUGGUUAAGACAGUAGAUUUUGUGUUUAUACAAUAAACCCAGAAAAGAUGUAUGCUGCACCACAAACCCAGAAUAGGUUUUACGGAGAUUUUCUUGGUGUUUUUGUUGUUGUUUGAGACAGGGUCUGGCUGUGUUGCCCAGGCUGGAGGGCAGUGGCACAGUCAUAGCUCACUGCAGCCUCAACCUCCUUGGCUCAGGGAAUCCUCCUGCCUCAGCCUCCUGAGUAGCUGGGACCACAGGCGCACACCACCAUGCCUGGCUAAUUUUUAUUUAUUUAUUUAUUGAGAUGGAGUCUCGGUCUGUCACCCAGGCUAGAGUGCAGUGGCAUGAUCUCAGCUCACUGCAACCUCCGCCUCCCAGGUUCAAGCGAUUCUCGUCCCUCAGCUUCCUGAGUAGCUGGGAUUACAGGCGCCUGCCACCAGGCCCAGCUAAUUUUUGUAUUUUUAGUAGAGACAGGGUUUCACCAUGUUGGUCAGGCUGGUCUCGAACUCCUGACCUCGUGAUUCGCCCGCCUUGGCCUUCCAAAGUGCUGGGAUUACAGGCAUGAGCCACUGCACCUAGCUAUAUUUUUAUUGUACAGACAGAGGUCUCACUGUGUUGGCCAGGCUGGUCUCAAACUCCUGAGCUCAAGCCAUCUAUCACCUCGGCCUUCCAAAGUGCUGGGAUUACAGGUGUGAGCCACCGUGCCCAGCCUACAAGGAUUUUCAUUCCUGCUUUGUCUGAAGUUGAAAAAGUUUUGGAAAAUCUAAGCAUCGUUUAAUAGAGAAUCGCUAAGUAAAAUGAGGCAGCAUCGUGGGUGGAAUAUCAGCACCAAAGCGCCAAGCCUUGUGGUUAAAGGUGGCAGACCAUCUUCAGUCUUCUUAGCCCCUUUCAAGUCCCCUACUAUAUCAGAAAGGGUUGGCUGGUUGCUUUUAAAGCACGAGCCGCAGAAUGGAGAGAAUGGGCGACUGGAAGGCAGGCUGAGGAUGGUGAGGGGCCCUGCUGGCCAGUCAGAGAGGUAUCCUGGCACCUGUGGGGCAGGUGAGCUGGGAGCUGGAGGUGUGAGCAGUGUCUGCACAGAGCCUUCUCUGUACGCUGGGCUCAGAUCAACGGGCUCAAGGGAUAGGCUGCCUCCUUGACUUCUAGGAGGCAGCAGCAUGAGUGGGAGUCGAGGGAGGCUGUCGCAGGGCGGCCUGGGUGGGAGCAACAGUGUCGGUUUUAGCUGGUUCUACCCCGUGGGACCUCCGUAUCUGUCUGGGCCUGGGUGUGGGUGCAUGAACGAGGACUGCUGCUCUGGGGAGGGAGUGUGCCAGGUGCCAGAAGGGCAGGAGGAAGACAUGGCUGUCCCCCCACACCAGCUGGAAGAAGGCUUGGGGGAGGAGGUGGUCAGGGAGCUCUUGUCUGCUGGCCUCAGCCACCUGUCGGGUGAGACCCAGAGCCAGGAAGACAGAGCUCAAAGGAGCCCUUCCCAGGCACCGCAGGCCUUGCUGCUUGUUGGCCCGCAUGCUGCAGCCCCACCCGUGGCCAGGCCCACCAGCAGGCCCGCCGGUUGGACACCUGGUCAGAGUGGGCUGGGGUCCAU